RNAcentral lists this unclassified non-coding RNA (206 nucleotides) under Hevea brasiliensis (rubber tree). Lineage: Eukaryota; Viridiplantae; Streptophyta; Magnoliopsida; Malpighiales; Euphorbiaceae. The record is from RNAcentral.
CCCAAACACUAUGCUGUACAGAAAGGGUGUUUCAUCUUGACUCAGAACCUGCAACGUGCAAACUGAGUCAGUUGCUGACAAUAUGGCACCAAUAGCUAGGAUUGCAGAGUAAGAGUGGUAAGACCAAUUCUCUUAAAAAGCAGAAAGGCACCUAGUGAUAUGAGGCAGAACGAAAUGACUGUGCCAAGUAUUCCAAACAACAAAAU